This 1519-nucleotide long non-coding RNA is filed under the name Mus pahari (shrew mouse). RNAcentral describes it as "predicted gene 43625 (MGP_PahariEiJ_G0005383.1)". Lineage: Eukaryota; Metazoa; Chordata; Mammalia; Rodentia; Muridae. The record is from RNAcentral.
GGACUUGUAGAAUGAAUCUCUCUUUCCAUUUUAUUUGUGUGUUGUGUGUGAGUGUGUGUGAUUUUAUUAGAUUUAUUAGAAUGACUUACAGGCUUUGGUCUAGCUAAUCCAACAAUGGCUGGCUGUGAACAGAAAGUCCCAAAAGUCUUAGUCUACAAAGCUGGGUGUCUCAGCUGGUCCCAGACUCUAAUGACAGUAAAGGAGUAGACUUGCUAGCAAGGAGAGGGCAAAGAUCAAAAACUUCCUUCUUCUACAUCCUUCUAGGCUUCCAGCAGGAGGAGUGGCCCAGAUUACAUAGGCAUCUUCCUGCUUCAACAUCCAGAUUGAAGAUGCGUCUUUUCUCUGUUCCAAAGACCUGGAUGAAAGUCGUGUUUUCCUACCUCAAAGAUCUGGAUUAGAAGUGGUCUUCCUACUUCAAAUUAAGCAAAAUAUCCAAAACUAAAAUAAAAUGUGUUCCUAUCUUAAGGUAGAAAGAAUGUAAAAGCUGGAUGCUGGGGCGUAAUAUCAUCCUCUGGACAUGGACAGCUGUCACGCCCUCAAACUCACAGGAGUUACACAAGAUCAAGCCAACCAAAGUUCCCCCAAAGGUUUGGGGGUUGCCCUCCAGGUCCUACCCCUUCCUGAGGAACUGUUGGCAGUUGGUAGCUGCUAGGGAAGGGAGAACAGAACCAUUCUGCUUCAGUGCUGUGGCCACUGAGGAAUUUCCCAUGUUUCAGUGGAUGGCUCUACACUGAUACACACGAGGGCAGCACUGAGGGCUUAGAGUCUUAUUAAACAGCACCAUCAAGUCAUGAAGGGAUGUCUUGGGCACUUGCCUGGCAUGAUGGAUUGUUCCACUAAAAUAUGAGUCAGAAUAAACCACUCCUCAAGGUAUUUUUGUCACAGAAACCAGGACAAAUACCCUAGCUGUUAGUAAAAUAUGACAGCAUUUUUCCUUCAAGGAAAAAAAUAUGAUUCUGGUGAAACCAAACAGGUGGGAAAUGGUUAAAUGUUUGUCCUGCAAAUGCUUCACUGUAGUGGAGGAGCAUUUGGACAUCUACAGGGUCUCUGGACUUCCCCUAAACUCUGCUGCAACCAGAAAACACAAAGUCUUCUUUAGUAAUCAAAAUUGAACAGAUGGUGCAAGGCCUCAUGAAGCCACAUAACAGGGCCCCAAGUGGGCAUGGAUGACAACUUGGGAUGCAAAGUAACUAAUCAUCAGAAGAAAAUAAUAGAAUACAAAAGAUCACACUGCUGGGAACAAAUGAAUAAGAUUCAAAACUUCUUAUGCUGGUUAAUGACUAAAAAUACGGAAUAAAUACAAGAAUUUAAAAGUUAUUCUACGGACUGGAGAGAGAGCAGUUAAGAGCACUGACUGCUCUUCCAGAGGUCCUGAGUUCAAUUCCCAGCAACUACAUGGUGGCUUAUAACCAUCUGUAAUGGGAUCCAGUGGCCUCUUCUGGCAUGUCUGAAGAGUGCAACAGUGUACUCACAUAUAUAGAAUAAAUUUUUUUAAAAAUAAAAGUCAUUCUAUAGCUAA